GACUAGCCCCGAUCGAAGCGGCAUCCUUUUUCCUGCUUCUUUAGCAGGGAAAAGAUAUAGCGGAGAGCGGGACUGAAU
This 78-nucleotide small RNA is filed under the name Flavobacterium resistens. RNAcentral's name for it is "Flavo-1 RNA". It matches the Rfam family "Flavo-1 RNA". The record is from RNAcentral. Lineage: Bacteria; Pseudomonadati; Bacteroidota; Flavobacteriia; Flavobacteriales; Flavobacteriaceae.